UUUUUUUUUUUUUUUUUUGAGACAAAGUCUCACUUGCCACCACGCCUGGCUAAUUUUUGUAAUUUUUGUAUUUUUGGUAGAGACAGGGUUUCUCCAUGUAGGCCAGGCUGGUUUCGAACUCCUGACCUCAGGUGAUCCACACCCCUAGGCCUCCCAAAGUGCUGGGAUUACAGGUGUGAGCCACCAUACCCAGCAGGUUUAUUUUAUUUUAUGUACUAAAUGAAACAGGUGCUGCUAGGUUCCAUAUUAGACUGACUUUUUUUUUCAGAAUGUGCUGUGAAGUAAAAUCAAUAAUACUUAUUACGAUUAGCAAAGAUUACAAAAACCUCUUUUUCAGAGCUUACUAGGUGGCAAUUCUGAAUUCAGUACUUAUAGGCACCAUCCCAUUAAAUUCUUGUAACAAACAAAGAGGGCAGGAGAUAUUAUUAUGCCCACCUGGUACAGGAACGUUCAGAUCUAAUACAUUUAAGGCAACGUCCAAACUCACACCCUGAGCAAAUGGCAGAGCUAAGAUCCUGGCUCUGUUAGACUGUAACUGCUACAUAUUACAAAAGCACAGAAUAAGCACAAUGUGAGGUCAACAUUGGCAAAUGCCCCAAGAGCAGUCCAGGCCAUUGCUGUGUGGAGAUCAAGGCCAGGUGGUCGUGGGGCUGGGGACAGGCAGCAUUGAGGGAGAGACAUCUAAGCCAGCUUCGGCUGUGAGUAAGAUCCUAAUGAAUAAAUGCUUGAGUGACUUCCAGGCAGCCCUGCUGGAGGUGGGUGUUUUGUGCCAUGCAGCCCUGGUCCUAAAGACCUAGCCUGUCUCCUGCCGAGAUUGCCUUCGGACAAAAGUCCACACCUGCAGGACGGUGUUAUCUGUGCUUGGCUCAGCUCCCCCAUGGCUGCCCUCCAGGCCACCCGCAUUGCACGGAUUUUUGUAAUGGAGGCAACAAAGCAGAAUGUUAAAGAACCCAGAAUUGUGAGGCAAAGCUGAACAGGCUCUUCUCUGCCACUUUCUUACGUAUAAUCUUAGGUCAAUUACUUAUCUCUGAGCCUUAAUCUCCUCAUCUGUAAAAGGGAGAUUAUAGUGUUUAAUUCAUAGGAGUCUGUUAAGAUGCAAUGAGAUCAUGUAAGUCCUUGCAUAGGGUUGCCUCCUAAGGGUAAGAAAAUUGGGGCUAUUCUCUGUUUCAUUAUUUCUUAAAACAGGGAUCAAAGUGGGUAGCAUGAGAACCAAAUACUGCUGGUAGCGACACCAUUUGACUUCUGCAGUGUUUCCGAGAGGCACGCCCUCCCCAGGCCCCUAGGCUCUGACCCUCCCCAGGGUCCUACCCAGCCCAUUCACAGGCACCUGCUGCUGGAUGGGCCCUGGGUGCCCUGUGAGGUUUCAGGAUCCAUUCUCCAAUCUCCCCAGCGAUCUCCCUUUGGAAGGAUAGGUAGGUAGAAAGGAAAAGUAGCAUUCUUUGCAAUAUACCCCAGUUUUGCUGACAAUGUUACCAUCCUCUUCAGAUCCAGUUGUGUGAAGGGCCUCUGUGAUGGGCCGCCUUGUCCUCUGUAUGUGGGAUGUGCCUUCUGCAGGCUGGCUCUGGCAGGAGCACUCGCAGACCCCCGACGCCAGGCCAAGGCCACACGCUGAAUGCUUUAUGUGUAAUCAGUGUGUGCCCAAUGGCAAAUAUCAAAGUUGGUCUUGGGACUUCUGUUUGCUCCUAAUUACUGAUUUAUAGUUUCAAAUGCAUGACUGCUUCCCAAAUACAGCAAGUGAUUAUGGGCAAAGCACCUUGGUCUUUGUCCUUAGGUCUCUCUACAGUAGUCAUUAAAACACAGUCACACGUGGCUUAAAGGCAGGGAUGUGUUCUGAGAACC
RNAcentral lists this long non-coding RNA (1839 nucleotides) under Macaca fascicularis (crab-eating macaque). Its description in RNAcentral is "lncRNA (ENSMFAG00000062393.1)". Lineage: Eukaryota; Metazoa; Chordata; Mammalia; Primates; Cercopithecidae. The record is from RNAcentral.